CAUCUCCUGCAGUGUACGGCAGCGGCCUGGGUAUUUUCUUGAGCCUAAUUCGUACCCCGGGAGCGCCAAGAAUUUGGCCGUUGUGCAUGUCCGUCUUGAGCGGAAAGCCUGAAGCCAGAUGUAGCGCUCCCACUUGAACCCUCAGGUUCAAGAACGAAGGACUGCACCGGCACAGGCGGGAGAUGU
This 186-nucleotide non-coding RNA is filed under the name Halochromatium sp. Its description in RNAcentral is "6S RNA". It matches the Rfam family "6S / SsrS RNA". Rfam says of the family: E. coli 6S RNA was the first non coding RNA to be sequenced, but its function was unknown until recently. It consists of 184 nucleotides that fold into an extended hairpin structure with a large single-stranded internal bulge. The 6S RNA specifically associates with RNA polymerase holoenzyme containing the sigma70 specificity factor. Lineage: Bacteria; Pseudomonadati; Pseudomonadota; Gammaproteobacteria; Chromatiales; Chromatiaceae. The record is from RNAcentral.